This 699-nucleotide long non-coding RNA is filed under the name Physcomitrium patens. RNAcentral's name for it is "long non-coding RNA (PPAT_LNC007545)". Lineage: Eukaryota; Viridiplantae; Streptophyta; Bryopsida; Funariales; Funariaceae. The record is from RNAcentral.
AGUAGGGUUGGGCUAAAAAAUCCUUAGGAUAGGAUAGAAUGAUACCCGAGGGUCGACCGUUUGUGAGACAGGGUCAAAAUCAGACCUCUUGCAACUAAAAUGAUGGCCUAGGGCAAAAUAGGGUUUCAUUCGAAGAUUGGAGGUUAGGAUCUGAGAGCUAGCUUAAAGUUCAUUCCAAAGACAUAAGAAUUGUUUUGAGAGGGUUUUGGAAGACUUAGCAAUUGUUGUUCAAAGUCAAGGUUUGUAUCAGUGAUUUGGAUUUAUAUAAUAUAAUUAGGCUAGCAAUUUUGGCUAAUUUGUGCAAUUGGCAUGACAUCUAUAGUUGAAAAUUUGAUAUUAUUUGGAUUACUAGGUGUGCUAAGUGUAUGAAAAAUUUUGUGACAGUCUAACAACGUGAUUUAGAGAUAUCUAGUUUUUAGCAUAAGAGAAUUUCAGAAGGUGGCAGUUUGAGGUUGGGUAGGGUUUCUAUGAUACUUGAAGAUCCAUCAAUCGGAUUAAGGUGAAAAUUGGCAUGGUGUUGGAUGACUUAAAGAUCAAGCUACAUACCAAUUUUGAAACAAAGUUAACGGUUAAGGGAGGAGAAAUCAUUGCUGGGAUUUUUGCUUCUUUUUUCAAGUUGGUGGUUGAGUGAAAUUGGUGCAAUUUUUGGAGGUUUUCUCACAAUUUGUAAGUUGGAUUGGACUAAAAAUUCUUGAGCAU